This 1357-nucleotide unclassified non-coding RNA is filed under the name Limulus polyphemus (Atlantic horseshoe crab). RNAcentral's name for it is "uncharacterized LOC106461965, transcript variant X2". The record is from RNAcentral. Lineage: Eukaryota; Metazoa; Arthropoda; Merostomata; Xiphosura; Limulidae.
GGAUUAACUCCUCCUACCAGCUUUUCGUUCAGGAGUGGCCAGCCCAGAGCGCGAAACCUCGCGCGCACCACGCUGGCUCAUACGGACGUUGCAGAACAAAAGGAUAAAUUGAAUCACAAUUCAUGAUUGAAUCCCACCGUCUAAUUUCGUUUCUCAAGAGGCCAAUACUUGCGAAGUGUUGACACUACAAACCAGGCAAUUGUACUAAUGAAAACGCAAGAGCAUGAGGACAUAUGAGGAGCUGUUGGUGGCUUCGAGAGACUAGAAAUUUUUGACAAAGCCAUGGGGAGGGACUCUUAGCGGGUGGUGUGUGUGCUGUUUGAUGUGAAGGUUUUUUUUUCGUCUGCGGAAUACUGGGUUUCGUGAACUCUCGGCCCUUGUCGCAAGGGUUCUUCUCUCAGAAACUUGACACCAGGGGGAUUCAUCCUGUGUAAGAACACAGCUGAACGGCUUACUUGACUUUUCAAGAGGUGUUCCUGUUUGUGACAACACUUGUGGAACGACCCCACGACAAAGAACAGAGGGUGAGUCAUAAAUUAUGCAAAUGAACAUCUACCAACUUUCCUGUUCUGCUUCUGGAACUUACUACACGUUUCUAUACCCACUUUACCCUGUAUUGUACUGCUUAAAAUGGUGUAAAAUAUUCCUCACAGCCCAGAGAAUCAAUGAUCCACAGAAGAUGACUGUUACACAUGGUGUUACUUUACGGAGAAUACCAACGGAAUUCUGUAGCAACAGCAAGAAUGUACGCGACAAGACACCCGUACUCAUCCAAAAUUGUACCCACUGUUCCCUGUCUUCAAGAAACAGGCUCUACCAAACUACGACGGUGGCCAGAUUUCUAUUGCACAUUAUAUGAUCCGACGAGCUACAGUUUUAGCGGGAUGGAUUGGUCAAUGCCCAUAAUGGCCACUACUGGGUAACUGACAGUUCACAUUGUCUGCGGCAAUACGACAAUCAAGUAAAAUGGCGUACUAAUGUGUAGUGUGACAUUUAUUGUCAUCACAUAAUUAGAUUAAUGUUCUAGGACAAGAAACUAACAGAGAAUUAUUUUGUGGAUCUGAUUCUAUAAGACAUUGUGACUAGAUUUGUUGAUGAUUUCCCAGAGGAUGUGGUUUCAACCCAUUUCCGCAAUUGCUUAUAUGAAGAUUCCAGAACAGUGGAUUGGAACUUAUUACAUCAAAGAACGGGUAUAUGCCACAUCCAUUACAAUUUUGCAAGAACGAAUUCGUGUGGCAUGUACAGAAAUUCCCGUGUAAUUCUUUACUAAGAUUCACUAUUUCAUUUUUUUUUAAGUUAUAUUGAUUUUGAACAUACGCAUACUGUAUUUUUUGUUAUUAUUUUCUGAUGAAUUCAG